RNAcentral lists this ribosomal RNA (305 nucleotides) under uncultured bacterium. Its description in RNAcentral is "bacterial SSU rRNA". It matches the Rfam family "Bacterial small subunit ribosomal RNA", at positions 337 to 640 of the family's 1533-position model. The record is from RNAcentral.
GCCUACGGGGGGCAGCAGUGAGGAAUAUUGGUCAAUGGCCGGAAGGCUGAACCAGCCAAGCCGCGUGAAGGACGAAGGUGCCAAGCAUUGUAAACUUCUUUUGUCAAGGGACAAAAUCAGGCUCGAGAGCCUGACCGAGGGUACUUGAAGAAAAAGCAUCGGCUAACUCCGUGCCAGCAGCCGCGGUAAUACGGAGGAUGCGAGCGUUAUCCGGAUUUAUUGGGUUUAAAGGGUGCGCAGGCGGAGGUGCAAGUCAGCGGUCAAAUUGCGGGGCUCAACCCCGUACUGCCGUUGAAACUGCAUCC